CACGUAGGGCGCAAGCGUUGUCCGGAAUUAUUGGGCGUAAAGAGCUCGUAGGCGGUCUGUUGCGUCCGCUGUGAAAACUCGGGGCUUAACCCCGAGCCUGCAGUGGAUACGGGCAGACUAGAGGUAGGUAGGGGAGAAUGGAAUUCCCGGUGUAGCGGUGAAAUGCGCAGAUAUCGGGAGGAACACCCGUGGCGAAGGCGGCUCUCUGGGACGGUACUGACGCUGAGACGCGAAAGCGUGGGGAGCGAACAGG
RNAcentral lists this ribosomal RNA (253 nucleotides) under uncultured bacterium. Its description in RNAcentral is "partial 16S ribosomal RNA". It matches the Rfam family "Bacterial small subunit ribosomal RNA", at positions 524 to 776 of the family's 1533-position model. The record is from RNAcentral.